RNAcentral lists this ribosomal RNA (253 nucleotides) under uncultured bacterium. RNAcentral describes it as "partial 16S ribosomal RNA". It matches the Rfam family "Bacterial small subunit ribosomal RNA", at positions 524 to 776 of the family's 1533-position model. The record is from RNAcentral.
UACGGGGGGGGCAAGCGUUGUUCGGAAUUACUGGGCGUAAAGGGCUCGUAGGUGGCCAACUAAGUCAGACGUGAAAUCCCUCGGCUUAACCGGGGAACUGCGUCUGAUACUGGAUGGCUUGAGUUCGGGAGAGGGAUGCGGAAUUCCAGGUGUAGCGGUGAAAUGCGUAGAUAUCUGGAGGAACACCGGUGGCGAAGGCAGCCUUCUGGGCCAACACUGACGCUCAUGCACGAAAGCGUGGGGAGCAAACAGG